This 628-nucleotide ribosomal RNA is filed under the name uncultured bacterium. Its description in RNAcentral is "bacterial SSU rRNA". It matches the Rfam family "Bacterial small subunit ribosomal RNA", at positions 870 to 1504 of the family's 1533-position model. The record is from RNAcentral.
CGCCNGGGGAGUCCGGCCGCAAGGUGAAACUCAAAGGAAUUGACGGGACCCGCACAAGCGUGGAUGAUGUGUUUAAUUCGAUGCAACGCGAAAAACCUUACCUACCCUUGACAUGUCAAGAAUUUUGCAGAGAUGUGAAAGUGCUCGAAAGAGAACUUGAACACAGGUGCUGCAUGGCCGUCGUCAGCUCGUGUCGUGAGAUGUUGGGUUAAGUCCCGCAACGAGCGCAACCCUUGUCAUUAGUUGCUACCGCAAGGAGCACUCUAAUGAGACUGCCGGUGACAAACCGGAGGAAGGUGGGGAUGACGUCAGGUCCUCAUGGCCCUUAUGGGUAGGGCUACACACGUCAUACAAUGGCCGGUACAGAGGGUUGCCAACCCGCGAGGGGGAGCCAAUCCCAGAAAACCGGUCGUAGUCCGGAUCGUAGUCUGCAACUCGACUGCGUGAAGUCGGAAUCGCUAGUAAUCGCGGAUCAGCUUGCCGCGGUGAAUACGUUCCCGGGUCUUGUACACACCGCCCGUCACACCAUGGGAGCGGGUUCUGCCAGAAGUAGUUAGCCUAACCGCAAGGAGGGCGAUUACCACGGCAGGGUUCGUGACUGGGGUGAAGUCGUAACAAGGUAGCCGUA